This 345-nucleotide unclassified non-coding RNA is filed under the name soil metagenome. Its description in RNAcentral is "partial contains 5.8S ribosomal RNA, internal transcribed spacer 2, and large subunit ribosomal RNA". The stretch from base 1 to 120 matches the Rfam family "5.8S ribosomal RNA", at positions 35 to 154 of the family's 154-position model. The record is from RNAcentral.
GAUGAAGAACGUAGCGAAAUGCGAUAAGUAGUGUGAAUUGCAGAAUUCAGUGAAUCAUCGAAUCUUUGAACGCACAUUGCGCCCCCUGGUAUUCCGGGGGGCAUGCCUGUCCGAGCGUCAUUGCUGCCCUCAAGCACGGCUUGUGUGUUGGGCCUCCGUCCUCCUCCCGGGGGACGGGCCCGAAAGGCAGCGGCGGCACCGCGUCCGGUCCUCGAGCGUAUGGGGCUUCGUCACCCGCUCUUGUAGGCCCGGCCGGCGCUUGCCGACACAUCAAUCUUUUUUCCAGGUUGACCUCGGAUCAGGUAGGGAUACCCGCUGAACUUAAGCAUAUCAAUAAACGGAGGA